AACGAACGCUGGCGGCAUGCCUAACACAUGCAAGUCGAACGAAGCCUUCGGGCCUAGUGGCGCACGGGUGCGUAACGCGUGGGAAUCUGCCCUUGGGUUCGGAAUAACAGUUAGAAAUGACUGCUAAUACCGGAUGAUGUCUUCGGACCAAAGAUUUAUCGCCCAAGGAUGAGCCCGCGUAGGAUUAGGUAGUUGGUGGGGUAAUGGCCCACCAAGCCGACGAUCCUUAGCUGGUCUGAGAGGAUGAUCAGCCACACUGGGACUGAGACACGGCCCAGACUCCUACGGGAGGCAGCAGUGGGGAAUAUUGGACAAUGGGCGAAAGCCUGAUCCAGCAAUGCCGCGUGAGUGAUGAAGGCCUUAGGGUUGUAAAGCUCUUUUACCAGGGAUGAUAAUGACAGUACCUGGAGAAUAAGCUCCGGCUAACUCCGUG
RNAcentral lists this ribosomal RNA (433 nucleotides) under uncultured bacterium. RNAcentral describes it as "bacterial SSU rRNA". It matches the Rfam family "Bacterial small subunit ribosomal RNA", at positions 29 to 507 of the family's 1533-position model. The record is from RNAcentral.